CCUACGGGAGGCAGCAGUGGGGAAUUUUGGACAAUGGGGGCAACCCUGAUCCAGCCAUUCCGCGUGAAUGAAGAAGGCCUUCGGGUUGUAAAGCUCUUUCAGCCGGAACGAAACGGUACGCCUUAAUACGGUGUGCUAAUGACGGUACCGGCAGAAGAAGCACCGGCUAACUACGUGCCAGCAGCCGCGGUAAUACGUAGGGUGCGAGCGUUAAUCGGAAUUACUAGGCGUAAAGCGUGCGCAGGCGGAUUGUUAAGCAAGAUGUGAAAUCCCCGGGCUUAACCUGGGAAUGGCAUUUUGAACUGGCAGUCUAGAGUGUGUCAGAGGGGGGUGGAAUUCCACGUGUAGCAAUGAAAUGCGUAGAUAUGUGGAGGAACACCAAUGGCGAAGGCAGCCCCCUGGGAUAACACUGACGCUCAUGUACGAAAGCGUGGGUAGCAAACAGGAUUAGAUACCCUGGUAGUCCACGCCCUAAACGAUGUCAACUGGUUGUUGGGGGAGUGAAAUCCCUUAGUAACGAAGCUAACGCGUGAAGUUGACCGCCUGGGGAGUACGGUCGCAAGAUUAAAACUCAAAGGAAUUGACGGA
Molecule: ribosomal RNA, 588 nt
Filed under: uncultured bacterium
Lineage: Bacteria
Description: bacterial SSU rRNA
Rfam family: Bacterial small subunit ribosomal RNA
Source: RNAcentral